RNAcentral lists this ribosomal RNA (427 nucleotides) under uncultured Enterobacter sp. RNAcentral describes it as "bacterial SSU rRNA". It matches the Rfam family "Bacterial small subunit ribosomal RNA", at positions 355 to 774 of the family's 1533-position model. Lineage: Bacteria; Pseudomonadati; Pseudomonadota; Gammaproteobacteria; Enterobacterales; Enterobacteriaceae. The record is from RNAcentral.
UGGGGAAUAUUGCACAAUGGGCGCAAGCCUGAUGCAGCCAUGCCGCGUGUAUGAAGAAGGCCUUCGGGUUGUAAAGUACUUUCAGCGGGGAGGAAGGUGUUGUGGCUAAUAACCGCAGCAAUUGACGUUACCCGCAGAAGAAGCACCGGCUAACUCCGUGCCAGCAGCCGCGGUAAUACGGAGGGUGCAAGCGUUAAUCGGAAUUACUGGGCGUAAAGCGCACGCAGGCGGUCUGUCAAGUCGGAUGUGAAAUCCCCGGGCUCAACCUGGGAACUGCAUUCGAAACUGGCAGGCUAGAGUCUUGUAGAGGGGGGUAGAAUUCCAGGUGUAGCGGUGAAAUGCGUAGAGAUCUGGAGGAAUACCGGUGGCGAAGGCGGCCCCCUGGACAAAGACUGACGCUCAGGUGCGAAAGCGUGGGGAGCAAACA